Molecule: non-coding RNA, 2435 nt
Organism: Drosophila suzukii
Lineage: Eukaryota; Metazoa; Arthropoda; Insecta; Diptera; Drosophilidae
Source: RefSeq, a predicted model, not a curated record
GUGACUGUUCUUCUCGUUUCUGAUUUCGUCAAAGGAAAAUUGUGGGGAAAACUGGAAGUGUUCGGCAGGCCGCGUUUCAUUGAAAUCGAAGCGUGACUUUGGAGCGGGUGCUGCUUCACAUGCUGAUAAAUAUAAACAAUUAUUGUGCUGAUAAUUGACGUGCUCCGCUCUCCCAUGGCAUAACAAUAGUUCUUUUCAACAACACAGAGUGAUCAAGUGCGGGGGAGGCGGUAAGACAAAACGAGCGAACGACGCCAAAAGAUUAUGCAGAUACCCCCUGAAUUAACCCAUCGAAGGGGCGCCAUAAAAUGGCACGAGACAGCGAGAAAGAGAGAUGAACUGAGGCCGGAAAACUCGGAGGAAACCGUCGCAAAACCGUGGAUCCAUAUCGCAUCGCUCAGAGGCAGAGGGGCGGGGGUUAUCGCUUAGAUUAGAUUGUCCUAUGGCAAAUUAGCUUACUUCGUACAUGGCGCGUAUACCAGUGUAUAUGCCACAACGCACACAAACACGCACAUAUGAUAUAGAUACUGUAUUAUUAACUGUAGGGACAUAAGUUUGAUUACUCUUUAUAUACCCGUAUAUAUACAUAAUUGUGAUUUAAGCGAUUUUAUCAAAUCUGCAUUAUGCGAUUCUUUAUAAAAUUCGUCGUAGUCAGUAAGUGCAAACGAACCCUAAACAGAGAACAUGCAAUACUUGUUGUAAAUUACCAAAAAACAAAACACAAAAAAAUCAAAACAAAAAAGCGAAGGCGAUAAUUAUAGCAAGUCGAAAUGAGUGUAACAAGUGCCAUUAGGACUAGAGCUAGCAGCAGCAAGCGACACACCAGCAACAGCAAAAUUAUCUCCACAAUUUAUCAUUUCCCAUAGAAUACAGAUAUAUCAAUGCAACAGAUAACUAAUUAGACAAGCUAGCCCCCGGAGCUUGUAUAUUAGCUGAUAUUCGCAGUGUUGACGGGAUUGAGGGAAAAAUCUUUGAUAUUCCAUUUUAAUUAGUACAAACUUAAGACUAACCGAAAACGCCACAAAAGAACAGAUUUACAUAGACUUCCUUGUUCCUUCCCCGAGACAUUUGCCAUACGCACAAAGAAAAUUGUAAUUCUAUACAGAACCCUAUCAUAGUAGAGAUGUUAUUUAACGCGGUAAUGUGUGUGUCAAAGCUAAAGUGAAAUAUUGAAACAAAGAAAUAUCCCUAAAGGGAGUAUAUGCAUAUAGAAGUGGUAUACGUACACUAAACCUAGUCCCAACGGGAAUUAUAAGCAAUGUCAAUUGCUGAACGAGAUAUCUUGAAGAGACAGUAAUCAACACCCUAUCCAUUAUAGGGUUUUUCUUUUUCACCACCUUUUCAUUUAAAUAUUGAGUGCUAUUUCCACCACAAGAUUUAUUCAAAAAGUAUAUAGUUAGUCGGUAGACUUUUCACAGAUAUUUUACCGAAACACAACGAAGGCGGAACAAAAAAGGGUACAUUCGAGGUUAUUCUGCCAGCCGGUGUUAGCUUUCUUAAACUGUUAUAUAUACCAAUACCGAUAGGGAUUAUCUUUUACUUGCAAUUCUGAUAUUAGUAGACAAUGGAUUGCUGCUGCUGCAGAUCGGUUCAUAGUUAAAUUUUAUAUACGAAACGAAAUCCCAAUAUUUGGCCUAUAAUUAUGCAUUCAUAAUUUUUAAAGAGCUUAACUUAACUAUUAAUCGAAAAUUUAUUUGAUUUUCUUAGUUUAGCUUAAAUGAGUAUUAGGAAGGCAACGAACGGAGAGUAUUUAGGGGCAGUAGAAAUGGGUUUAGAUGACCUUUUUGGAAUCCGAGACAUACCCGACAUUACAUAUUCGCAAACGCAUUUAAGACGAACGCAAAUAUUGCAAUUAAUAACGUAAUUGUAAAUGAAACAUAAGUCUUCAAACCAAACAAAGAACAACAAAAGGUAGCAUAAUUUUUUAUACGCAACUUUUAUUGCAAUUGUAAAUGGACGAAUAGGAGAAAGAAGAAGCUGACAUCAAUUUUGAUCGAUUCGUAAUUAUAUUAUUAUAUACACUAAAAGAAUUGGCUCUAUUUCAAUUAAACUUAAACGUAGUUAAAAUACAAAAUGCAUAUUAAUGUGCAAGGUCAAGACCCGACUUGCCAAAAUAAACAUAAACAGUAUGAUAAAAAAAACGAAGAUCUAGAUAUUUAGAGAAGCGGAAAAACAGUAACGAUACAAUAGCGCUUUAACGAUCGCUUAAAUGCAAUGAGUAAAUCCCACAAUAAGUUUUAUGUUUUAUGUGCGCACGUUUAGUUUGCUUGGAACCUAAGUCGUAUUCGUAUGUUCUACCAUUAUUUAGAUUUAUUUUGCAAUUUAGUCCCCAUCCACUUCGAUCUUUGAAGUUGGCCCCUCACAAUUGUAUGUAUUUAGUUUACCUUGCACUGUAAUUUUUAUUUUGUGUUGUUAAAUAUAUCGUUAUUUACUUA